Molecule: long non-coding RNA, 410 nt
Organism: Oncorhynchus tshawytscha (Chinook salmon)
Lineage: Eukaryota; Metazoa; Chordata; Actinopteri; Salmoniformes; Salmonidae
Source: Ensembl
UUGUAAUGAUCAUGGUGUCUGUGAGUCUGGCUGUGUUGGUGUUCACUGUCAUCCUGUUCACCAUCUACAGAUGGAAAUGUAACAAGGUGCAAGGGCCGGCUUCCUCCAGCAGACAGACCUCUAGCAGACCAAACAUCCACCCAGGAAACAGUGAGGAGGGGGACCAGGACUAUGAGAAUGACCCUGCUACAGACACCAUGGUUUAUAUAGGAACAGAUGAUGCUGUCUACCAAACCCUGAACUCCAACAAUGCAAUCCAAGAUUCAACUUACCAAACCCUGAAUCCCAACACUGUAAACCAAGAUUCAACUUACCAAACCCUGAAUCCCAACACUGUAAACCAAGAUUCAACUUACCAAACCCUGAACACCAACACUGUAAACUAAGAUUCAACUUACCACAACCUGAAC